UAACCAUCAGUAAAGGGUUUCACAUAGACUUUAACCAUCAGUAAAGGGUUUCUCAUAGACCUUAACCAUCAGUAAAGGGUUUCUCAUAGACCUUAACCAUCAGUAAAGGAUUUCUCAUAGACUUUAACCAUCAGUAAAGGGUUUCUCAUAGACCUUAACCAUCAGUAAAGGGUUUCUCAGACUUUAACCAUCAGUACAGGGUUUCUCAUAGACCUUAACCAUCAGUAAAGGGUUUCUCAUAGACCUUAACCAUCAGUAAAGGGUUUCUCAUAGACCUUAACCAUCAGUAAAGGGUUUCUCAUAGACCUUAACCAUCAGUUAAGGGUUUCUCAUAGACCUUAACCAUCAGUAAAGGGUUCCUCGCUCUGUAGUCUUGUCCCACCACUCCACAUUGACCAUCUGUCCCUACACUCAUAAGAAUGUUCAUGGACAUGGUCUGGGCGUCAGUUGGUUGGUUAUUGUUCAGGACAUUGUUCUUUUCUACUGCUUUUCCACCAUAUGAAAAACAGGCAAAUAUUGUAUCUAAAGUCUAUUUAAAUAAUUACUACCCAUGACAGUUGGUACUUAUGAUUAACAUAAAUUAAGAACUUAAUAACCUUUGAUCCAUGACCUAAGUUUAAUAAAAUAUACAUUUCAGCAUAUUAUCUACUGAUAAACUGGAUGAUUAAUUGCAUAUGGAAAUAUGUAGGUCAAGCUCAAUAAAUAAUAAAUCAAUGCGUCGUACAACGGAUGUAGUCUUUGUAUACUUUAUGUAGCUUUCCACGUCAUGUACAAUGUGACCAAUAGCUUUUACAGAGAUAGAAAAGUUCAUUUAGCUAUAGCCCCACACAAGGGGCAGUAGUAGGUAAUAUUCUGCCCUGAGAUCAGGGGUCAUAUCUUACAAACACAUAGAAAAACUACUGGAUUCAACUUCAUCAGUCAGCAUUAUAGUUCGGACAUCAUCAUUUUCAUCAUCAAUAUUACUGCCACCCAUAUCCUAUUCAUCCUCAACAUCUGCCUUAUCAUCAUCAUCAAUAUUACUGCCACCCAUAUCCUAUUCAUCCUCAACAUCUGCCUUAUCAUCAUCAUCAAUAUUACUGCCACCCAUAUCCUAUUCAUCCUCAACAUCUGCCUUAUCAUCAUCACCAUCAUCAUCAGUAUUACUGCCUCCCAUAUCCUAUUCAUCCUCAACAUCUGCCUUAUCAUCAUCAUCAAUAUUACUGCCACCCAUAUCCUAUUCAUCCUCAACAUCUGCCUUAUCAUCAUCAUCAAUAUUACUGCCACCCAUAUCCUAUUCAUCCUCAACAUCUGCCUUAUCAUCAUCACCAUCAUCAUCAGUAUUACUGCCUCCCAUAUCCUAUUCAUCCUCAACAUCUGCCUUAUCACCAUCAUCACCUUAUCAUCAUCAUCAAUAUUACUACCACCCAUAUCCUAUUCAUCCUCAACAUCUGCCUUAUCAUCAUCAUCCAUAUUACUACCACCCAUAUCCUAUUCAUCCUCAACAUCUGCCUUAUCAUCAUCAAUAUUACUACCACCCAUAUCCUAUUCAUCCUCAACAUCUGCCUUAUCAUCAUCAUCAAUAUUACUGCCUCCCAUAUCCUAUUCAUCCUCAUCAUCUGCCUUAUCAUCAUCAUCAUCAAUAUUACUACCACCCAUUUCCUAUUCAUCCUCAACAUCUGCCUUAUCAUCAUCACCAUCAUCAUCAAUAUUACUACCACCCAUAUCCUAUUCAUCCACAUCAUCACCCUCAUUGCCAUCAUUAUCAUCCUCAUUCCUGCUGGAAAUGGACUUUUCCUGACAUCACGUUAUAUAGUAUUUGUUUAUGA
This 1805-nucleotide long non-coding RNA is filed under the name Oncorhynchus mykiss (rainbow trout). RNAcentral describes it as "lncRNA (ENSOMYG00000072863.1)". The record is from RNAcentral. Lineage: Eukaryota; Metazoa; Chordata; Actinopteri; Salmoniformes; Salmonidae.